AUCAGGCCACAACAAUGGUGACUGCCAAUGUCCCAGUCCCUGUAGAGGUCUCACCCCUCACCGAGAUGCACUCAGGGCCUAUCAGCUUCCACCUUUCUCCACUUUUCUCAGCUUUUUAAAUUGUGUAUCCAGGGCCUGGAGAAGGGCUGGAGUCAGAUCAUGGACUGCUUCAGGGUUCACAGCGGGGACCAAGGUUGGCAGGCCUGUUACCCAA
Molecule: long non-coding RNA, 214 nt
Organism: Diceros bicornis minor
Lineage: Eukaryota; Metazoa; Chordata; Mammalia; Perissodactyla; Rhinocerotidae
Exons: 3
Source: RefSeq, a predicted model, not a curated record